AAGGAGCCCAAGAGCCAGGACAUCUAUCUGCGGCUGCUUGUCAAGCUGUACAGGUUUCUGGCCAGACAGACCAACUCCACCUUCAAUCAGGUUGUGCUGAAGAGGUUGCUCAUGAGCCGAACCAACCGGCCAUCUCUGUCCCUGUCCCGCAUGAUCUCCUGGCCGGGAGAACAAGACUGCUGUGGUUGUGGGGACGGUCACAGAUGAUGUGCAGAUUCUGCAAGUUCCCAAGCUGAAGGUGUGUGCACUGUGGGUGAGCAGCCGGGCCUGGAGUCGCAUCCUCAAGGCUGGGGGUAAGAUCCUCACCUUUGACCAGCUGGCCCUGAAGUCUCCCAAGGGCCGGGGCACUGUGCUCCUGUCUGGUCCUCCGAAGGGCUGAGAGGCAUUUUGGCAAGGCCCCAGGAACCCCACACAGCCAUACCAAACCCUAUGUCCGUUCCAAGGGCCGGAAGUUUGAGCGCGCCAGAGGCCGAAGGGCCAGCCGAGGCUACAAAAACUAACCC
Molecule: long non-coding RNA, 503 nt
Filed under: Mus musculus (house mouse)
Lineage: Eukaryota; Metazoa; Chordata; Mammalia; Rodentia; Muridae
Description: long non-coding RNA chr11:76514068-76514571
Source: RNAcentral